GCUGACAGCAGAGGAAAUCCUGUGGUUUUUGCUUUCCCUGCUUGUUGUUCAGAUGUGAAGGUACAGAGGAUGCCUCAACCCUUGAGUGAGCUCAGCUCUCACACGAGGCAGAGAGAGCACAAGCGAUUGAGCAAAAUCAGUCCCUGACUCCUGUUUCUGAUCUCAGCCUCCCCUCUGCUUGGACUGGGAGCUGAAGCAGGAAUGUGGUUUUGGCAAACAACCUUAAAAAGUAAAUUACUUGCUCUGUGGACUGAAAAUCACACUCUUUCUCCUCUAACCAGCUCCUCUCUGCAGGGAAACAAGCUGAUAAAUGAACAAGGAAAGAGACCUGGCCUCGAGAGCUUAGCAAAGCAAGGAGGUGGUGGGUCAUGGAGGCUGUUCCUGCAGGUUGGUGAGGCUGCAGCUCCUGCCCUGCUCUCACCCCAGAACCAGCCUCUGUCUCUGGAGAGGAGAAGAGGGAUUUACCACAUAAAACACCAUUAAGGACUUUGCUUUAGAUACCAGCAGAGUGCACUUUGGUGGCCAUAAGCCAAAUGAUGUGUAUCUAUUAUGUGUGUACGUAUGGAGCAUAGAUAAGCUUGUUGCAGGUUCUCUCAAGGCAGGCUCUGCCUCCUCCCAGCUGGAAGGGAGGGAACAAGCCCACAGCCUCUUGCUCUGUGCCUUGCCCAGAGCAGGCUCCCUGGGAUGUUGCCUGUGCUGCUGCGGGUCUGGUGCUGCCAGCUCAGGAAGGUGAUGCUGCCUGCUCCCAUCCCAGAGCUGCUUUGGGUCCAGCCCAUAUCCCUUCCCAAAAUGAUGGUCUGGCAAUUCCAGCACCCUUGUGUGCCCUGGGCAGAACAAAGAGGGCUCUGGCUCCAGGGCAGAGGUGCCAGAGGGGUUGCAGGUCUCCCAGUGAUGCCCUGCAUGUAUUUAAACCCCUCCAGUCAGCAGGCAGCAGAAAUAUCCUUUCCUUCCAAAGCUCCAAGUGACUCCUCCGUUCUCUGCCUGUGACAUUUCCAGGAGGGCCCUGGCUGCCACGCAGGUCUCUGGCCCUCAACUCUGCCAGAAAAAAUGAUGGUGUUUGGAGCUGGGGUUUUGGCUCAGACCCAUCUUGAGCAAUAUUGUUCCUCUUGUUUUCGAAACCAUAAUGCACUGCACUUGGUGGUGAUGUCAGGUACUUGUGGAUUGUAAUUACUGUGUAACCCAGCAGCCUGGAGAGGGAUGUCUCAGGAGGGGCAGCCUGAGGGGAAGGAAACUUAGUCCUUUAUGAAAUGCAGAUGUUUUUAAAGGGCUAUAAUUAACUGGAUUGGAUGCAGAGUAUUGAAAAUAUAAAAGUUUAACAGGCUUUUGAUUUUAAAUAUUUGCUGUGUACUUCCAGGGGUCACUCAGCUCUGUAGUGCACGAUCUCAGUCCUGUCCGUGCUGCCCUCAGAGUCACCCUUGUGCUUCAGGUUCAGACCUUGCCCUGGUGCUUUUUCUUAUCCACCCAAAAAACUGAGGAGCACCUAAACUCUCUGUGCAGGGCUGUGUCCUUCAGCUGUGUCCCUCAGCUCCUGGGCAUGGCACAGGCUGGAAACUGGCUUCAGGACGAUGUGGAGAAUGAGGCAAGAGGGGCAGCAUGGAAAAGAAAAACAAAACCCCCCAGCGCUCGUAGCUGAAUAGGAGCGAGCUCUCCAACCCCAAGUUAUGAAUUUUGUCAAUGAAAUUAGCCAACAAUGUUUGGGAAAGAAUAAAAAUAAAGCAGUGAGGGCUCAAAGAAAAACCAGCCGAGCUCUGGGAGUGAAUGGGGGCUUUGUUCGGGCUCUGGUCCCUUCAAUAGGCAGCCUGAAAGCCCGUGAGUCACGGCGCUGCUGCCCGGGUGCGGGGCCUCCCGGAACGGCCAGGGGGAAAAUCCGCCCCGCUCCCAUCCGACAGCUGACCAGCAACAGAAUAAAGUUAAUUUACUGCUAAAGUUAAUUUGCUGGGUGAGAGAAAGGAAACGAGAAGCAUGUUAUAAUAGACGCAGCAGCAGAGAGGCUGCGGGAAGUGUCGGAGCGAGGGCUCUCCCCCGUGCCGGGAUAACGGGGCCCGUUGUGGCUUUGGGUCCCACGGUGCCUCAGGGUCUGAGAGAUGCUACUCACUUCCAAAAAUUUAGAAAGGUUUAUUAAAAAUACAACAGAACACUGAAUAGAGAAAAUAUUACAGCACCGGGAGCAAAGGAUUUUUCCCACCAUGUGCUCACCCACACAAUGGAGGUUUUGCCUUUUAACCCUUUGGCCCCUCCCAAAGUUCUGUGCAUCGACUUUUUCUUUACUGCCCAGUGGUGGAGAUCACUUCCUUACAUCUUGAUUGGAGGUCAGGUGCUGCCAUAGUGACAAAUCGACCCUCCCAAAUGUCCCAAACCCAGGCUGUCCCUUGAUAACAACACAAGGGGGUAAAACUAUAUAAAACUUCUCUUAACAUACAUCCAUGAUAUUUGCCUGUUAAUUGUGAGAGUCAACCAUUGCAUUACUCAUGUAUCACAAGGGCACAGCCCAGGGAUCCCAGUAGCACUCUCUGCAGGGAGAAGCCACCUUCACACGGGAACGCCCUGGAGCAGCAGUGGUGUGAUGCCAGCGAAGGGAUGCCCUGCCUGGGGACAGCCCUGAGCCUGGCACUGGGGACAGCCCUGAGCCUGGCACCCGAGCCCCAGAUCCGUGUCAGUCCCUGCUGGCUGUGAGCCCGGGAUGUGUUUUGGGGGUGUGUUUUGGGGGCUGCAGCACAGGCAGGGGCAGGCAGCACCUUGGCCACAGCAGCUGUGGUUUGCCCACGGGGUGGGUGGGCUCUGUGGGGCUGCACAACGGGGCGCAUUCCCAGGCUGUGAUUUCAUCCCCAUCCCUGGCCAUACACUCCAGCCUCUGGAGAGCCAGGAUAUGCUCCCUGCACAGACCUGUGAAGGUGAGGAUAGCACGGGGCGGGGGGAACAGGGACCAUUUUGUGCCAAACCACUCCUGUAUGUAACAUGGGGCUCUGCAGCACAGGGCCCUGUGCCUGGUUUGGUGGGAGUAGCUGCUCUUUCCAAACAAAGGGCUCCUUUCUUCCCAGCAAGCAGAGGUAGCUGGUGUGAGCUGAAUACAACCUGCCUCCAGCCUUUGUUCCGUGCUACCUCGCCCAUCCCAGCACUUGGUGCUCGGCAUUGGACAAAUAUACAGCAGGAAAGAGAUGGUCCAGCCUCCACAGGGCUUGGAGGGGCUGCCUGGCUUUGUCCCACCACUUCAUCCAUGGCCUUUCCUAGAGCCAGGGAUGUCCCAGCUGAGGGUGGUGGCUGUGCAGGGUGAAGGACUCCCCUCCUGGCACUGGCUUGGUGUGCCAGCAGCCGUGCAAGCACCUGCCCCCAGGCUCCUGCUCCUGCCCUGUCCUGGCCCUGGGCACAUCACCACGCUGCCGUGCUUGCAGACAGGCACAGCUUCUCUUGGGAGGAGGCUGCUGAGCAGGGGAAUUAGGGCACUGCUGGGGCUGUCAGGCUGGGGACUGGGGCUGCAGCAGGGGGAGCACAGCAAUGGCACUGCUCAGCCUUUGAAGGUGGAAAGCUGGUGCCAAGAGUCAUGGACUGGUGUGGAUGUCCAGGCUGUGACCCUGUGCCAUGGGCUGGUGUGGAUGUCCAGGCUGUGACCUUGUGCCAUGGACUGGUGUGGAUGUCCAGGCUGUGACCCUGUGCCAUGGAAUGGUGUGGAUGUCCAGGCUGUGACCUUGUGCCAUGGACUGGUGUGGAUGUCCAGGCUGUGACACGGUGCCGUGGAAUGGUGUGGAUGUCCAGGCUGUGACCUUGUGCCAUGCAUGUCCAGGCUGUGACAUGGGGCCACAACGCAGUGCAGACAUCCAGCUUUGACAGGGCUCUCCUGUGGUCCGAAGUGCAGAUGUCCAUAUCAGCUCCCUCACCAUGCCAGCCGGUAUCUAAUGAAGCAGAGAGGCACCAAGAUCAUUUCUGGCUGACACAUCACUUGGGAGGCAAUUUUAAUGUUCCCAGCACCACUCGGUGAUGACAUCUUCUUCCCCUCUCCAAAGUGUUUUCUUGUGAUAAUGUGGCAUUGUAUCCUGAUGGUGUGUGUGUGUUUUGCUGCACGUGGGCAAGGCUAGAGAGGACUUCUCUAAGGACGCAGCAGUAUCAUUAGCAGGUCCCUGGGUGGCUUCCCAGUCACCUUUCCAUUAAUCCAGUUCUGCAUCACAGAAUUACGAAGCGGCUAAUGAACAGCUCCAGCGCCGGGAGCCUGGAGGUACCGCAUUAACCGGACGUCUCUUUGAACUGUCUGAUUUCUGGUGGGAAAACUUCAUGGAAAAACGAGAUUGUGUUUGUUUUCACAGCCUUCUGCAUCUGUUUUUAAAUAUUUGCUCACAGUAGUUCUGGGCUUUUUUUUUUGCUCUUUUUUUUUUUUAUUAGCAAUUAGCCUAAUAAGGCACCUUUUCAUUGCUUUGCAUGUAGAUUAACCACUUCAGAGAGUACAAAAUAAACAUUUUGCAAUGCAUGCUUGUA
This is a long non-coding RNA of Vidua macroura (Pin-tailed whydah), 4464 nucleotides long. RefSeq lists it as uncharacterized. The record is from RefSeq and is a predicted model, not a curated record. NCBI's taxonomy places the organism in Eukaryota, Metazoa, Chordata, Aves, Passeriformes, Viduidae. The transcript is spliced from 2 exons.